RNAcentral lists this ribosomal RNA (123 nucleotides) under Paenibacillus lignilyticus. RNAcentral's name for it is "partial 23S ribosomal RNA". It matches the Rfam family "Bacterial large subunit ribosomal RNA", at positions 2795 to 2925 of the family's 2925-position model. The record is from RNAcentral. Lineage: Bacteria; Bacillati; Bacillota; Bacilli; Caryophanales; Paenibacillaceae.
CCCCUCAAGAUGAGAUUUCCCAGUAUGUAAGACCCCUGAAAGACGAUCAGGUUGAUAGGUUCGAGGUGGAAGUGCAGCAAUGCAUGCAGCUGACGAAUACUAAUCGGUCGAGGGCUUAUCCUA